Molecule: long non-coding RNA, 1020 nt
Organism: Anneissia japonica
Lineage: Eukaryota; Metazoa; Echinodermata; Crinoidea; Comatulida; Comatulidae
Exons: 2
Source: RefSeq, a predicted model, not a curated record
CAUUCGGCAUUCAAGCAUAACAAAACAUUCGAGAAGGUGUUUAAUAGAGUUGUUCAUUUCCUCAGGGAUUUCUGUAACUCUUGUAAGCGGAGGUCUUUGAUUUGUCCUGUGGUUUUAGAGUCUAUCAGAAAAGCAGCAAGUUUUGAAAAAAAAUGGUAGACGAGCUCGCAACUUCUGUGGUUCCACCACUGUCAUCAGAAAACGGCUUGGACAAGACAACAACCAUUUUGGCUGCAGUGCUUGCCUCUGCUAUUGUCAUCUUGUGUCUUGCUGGUGCUUUACUCACCUACAUCACACUAACUUCCAGACGGCAAAUCAGACGUGCACAGGAGGAAUUAGAAGAUUUCCAACAGAAAAUAUUGUAUAACAAGGGGAGAAGAAGAUCAGAAAUCUUAGGCAAACACAUUUCUGAUUUUUGUGGAUGUGCCUGCGACCGAAAUCCACCUGGCGUACCAAAAAAUCUUGCGUGUAGCUGCAAUAAAACUUCAGCAACAAACUCCGCUUUUUCGGUGUAGUCGGUGACUGAGUUGGAGCCUGGUGGCUUAAGCAUGCGACACCUUGAAAUUUAUAAAACUAGGUCAAUGGGUUGGUAUUCGAGUUCUUUCCAGAUAGAACAUUAAUUCAAUGGACAUUGCAUAUUAUUAUAUCCAGAACUGUUUGUUGUUUUUUUUUUUUCUACAUAUGUGUUUAAUAUCUUAUUUAAUUAUUAUCAAAGCCAUCAUCGAAAUAAUUUUAAGCCAGGAAUUCAAAGGGGGGGGGGGCUGCGGAAGGACUUUCACAGAUAUAAGGUCCGCCCCCUCAGCCACCAUGGUUGGCGCUGAGGAAAGAAAAAUGUAUGAUUAUGCCACUUAUAAUCAUACUUAAAUUUUUCUCCAUUUUUAAAUAACUUUUUAUGAAUUUGAAUCCGCCACCGUGUGGUUUUAUAUGAUUAAUAUUUUCUUAAUAUUUUGUUAUAUCAUUGAUGUAUUGUAAAUACAAAGUUGUACAUAUAUGAAUACCAAAAUAAAAGAGGAACGAAAA